AGUAACGCGUGGGUAACCUGCCAUAUACAGGGGGAUAACACUUAGAAAUAGGUGCUAAAACCGCAUAAGCGCACAGCUUCGCAUGAAGCAGUGUGAAAAACUCCGGUGGUAUAUGAUGGACCCGCGUCUGAUUAGCCAGUUGGCAGGGUAACGGCCUACCAAAGCGACGAUCAGUAGCCGGCCUGAGAGGGUGAACGGCCACAUUGGGACUGAGACACGGCCCAAACUCCUACGGGAGGCAGCAGUGGGGAAUAUUGCACAAUGGGGGAAACCCUGAUGCAGCGACGCCGCGUGAGUGAAGAAGUAUUUCGGUAUGUAAAGCUCUAUCAGCAGGGAAGAAAAUGACGGUACCUGAGUAAGAAGCCCCGGCUAACUACGUGCCAGCAGCCGCGGUAAUACGUAGGGGGCAAGCGUUAUCCGGAUUUACUGGGUGUAAAGGGAGCGUAGACGGCGAGACAAGUCUGAAGUGAAAACCCGGGGCUCAACCCUGGGACUGCUUUGGAAACUGCCUGGCUGGAGUGCAGGAGAGGUAAGUGGAAUUCCUAGUGUAGCGGUGAAAUGCGUAGAUAUUAGGAGGAACACCAGUGGCGAAGGCGGCUUACCGGACUGUAACUGACGUUGAGGCUUGAAAGCGUGGGGAGCAAACAGGAUUAGAUACCCUGGUAGUCCACGCCGUAAACGAUGAUCACUAGGUGUUGGGGGCCUACAGGCCUUCGGUGCCGUCGCAAACGCAAUAAGUGAUCCACCUGGGGAGUACGUUCGCAAGAAUA
Molecule: ribosomal RNA, 770 nt
Filed under: uncultured Bacillota bacterium
Lineage: Bacteria; Bacillati; Bacillota
Description: bacterial SSU rRNA
Rfam family: Bacterial small subunit ribosomal RNA
Source: RNAcentral